Molecule: transfer RNA, 28 nt
Filed under: Gastrotheca cornuta (horned marsupial frog)
Lineage: Eukaryota; Metazoa; Chordata; Amphibia; Anura; Hemiphractidae
Description: partial tRNA-Phe
Source: RNAcentral
GAUGGACCCUAAAAAGCCCCCUAAACAU